Molecule: ribosomal RNA, 494 nt
Filed under: uncultured bacterium
Lineage: Bacteria
Description: bacterial SSU rRNA
Rfam family: Bacterial small subunit ribosomal RNA
Source: RNAcentral
GAUGAACGCUAGCGGCAGGCUUAAUACAUGCAAGUCGAGGGGCAGCAUGACUGUAGCAAUACAGUUGAUGGCGACCGGCAAACGGGUGCGGAACACGUACGCAAUCUACCCAAAACUGAUGAAUAGCCCUCCGAAAGGAGGAUUAAUACAUCGUAACCCAAUUGAAUGGCAUCAUUUAAUUAGUAUAGCUCCGGCGGUUUUGGAUGAGCGUGCGCCNGAUUAGGUAGUUGGCGGGGUAACGGCCCACCAAGCCUGCGAUCAGUAACUGGUGUGAGAGCACGACCAGUCACACGGGCACUGAGACACGGGCCCGACUCCUACGGGAGGCAGCAGUAAGGAAUAUUGGUCAAUGGACGCAAGUCUGAACCAGCCAUGCCGCGUGAAGGAUGAAGGUCCUCUGAUUGUAAACUUCUUUUGAAUGGGACGUAAACCCUUUUAUUCGUAAGAGAUUGACGGUACCAUUAGAAUAAGCACCGGCUAACUCCGUGCCAGCC